AAUGAACGUUGGCGGCGUGGAUUAGGCAUGCAGGUCGCGCGAGAAGUUUCCUUCGGGAGACGGACAGCGGCGGAAGGGAGAGGAAUAAGUAGAAAUCUGCCCUCGGGACGGGGAUAGCGGCGGGAAACUGCCGGUAAUACCCGAUAACAUCUUUGGAUCAAAUGGUGUGAUUCCGCCUGAGGAUGAGUCUACUUCCUAUUAGCUAGUUGGUGUGGUAAUGGCUCACCAAGGCAACGAUGGGUAGCGGGUGUGAGAGCACGAUCCGCCUCACUGGGACUGAGACACUGCCCAGACACCUACGGGUGGCUGCAGUCGAGAAUCUUCGGCAAUAGGGGAAACCCUGACCGAGCGACGCCGCGUGCGGGAUGAAGGCCCUCGGGUUGUAAACCGCUGUCGUAAGGGAACAAAUCUAAGAGGGUACUCCCUUUUAGUUGAGUGAUCUUAGGAGGAAGGACGGGCUAAGUUCGUG
RNAcentral lists this ribosomal RNA (469 nucleotides) under uncultured bacterium. RNAcentral describes it as "bacterial SSU rRNA". It matches the Rfam family "Bacterial small subunit ribosomal RNA", at positions 29 to 507 of the family's 1533-position model. The record is from RNAcentral.